Molecule: ribosomal RNA, 494 nt
Filed under: uncultured bacterium
Lineage: Bacteria
Description: partial 16S ribosomal RNA
Rfam family: Bacterial small subunit ribosomal RNA
Source: RNAcentral
GAUGAACGCUGGCGGCGUGCCUAAUACAUGCAAGUCGAGCGAACGGACGAGAAGCUUGCUUCUCUGAUGUUAGCGGCGGACGGGUGAGUAACACGUGGAUAACCUACCUAUAAGACUGGGAUAACUUCGGGAAACCGGAGCUAAUACCGGAUAAUAUUUUGAACCGCAUGGUUCAAAAGUGAAAGACGGUCUUGCUGUCACUUAUAGAUGGAUCCGCGCUGCAUUAGCUAGUUGGUAAGGUAACGGCUUACCAAGGCAACGAUGCAUAGCCGACCUGAGAGGGUGAUCGGCCACACUGGAACUGAGACCCGGUCCAGACUCCUACGGGAGGCAGCAGUAGGGAAUCGUCCGCAAUGGGCGAAAGCCUGACGGAGCAACGCCGCGUGAGUGAUGAAGGUCUUCGGAUCGUAAAACUCUGUUAUUAGGGAAGAACAUAUGUGUAAGUAACUGUGCACAUCUUGACGGUACCUAAUCAGACAGCCGCGGCUAACUAC